This 178-nucleotide long non-coding RNA is filed under the name Polistes fuscatus (common paper wasp). RNAcentral describes it as "uncharacterized LOC122518746". The record is from RNAcentral. Lineage: Eukaryota; Metazoa; Arthropoda; Insecta; Hymenoptera; Vespidae.
GUUAGUGCUACAAAGAAAGCAGGAGUGAAAAGAUAUAGAGAUUAAGAAAUAUAUGUAAGAAAAUUAAUCAAGAAACAACGGUGUGGAUAUUAGCAUUGAAUGUUGUUUCUUUGUUAUUACAGAGAAACAAUUCUACCUAUUAUCUACCCAUAACCUGCACAAUAAAUAAGACAUUAUA